This 428-nucleotide ribosomal RNA is filed under the name uncultured delta proteobacterium. RNAcentral describes it as "bacterial SSU rRNA". It matches the Rfam family "Bacterial small subunit ribosomal RNA", at positions 9 to 423 of the family's 1533-position model. Lineage: Bacteria; Deltaproteobacteria. The record is from RNAcentral.
GAGUUUGAUCUUGGCUCAGAACGAACGUUAGCGGCGCGCCUAACACAUGCAAGUCGAGCGAGAAAGGGCUUCGGCCCCGGUACAGCGGCGCACGGGUGAGUAACACGUAGGUAAUCUACCCCUGAAUGGUGGAUAACCCUCCGAAAGGAGGGCUAAUACAGCAUAAGACCACGGCUUCUCCGGAAGCUGAGGCCAAAGCGGGCCUCUUCACGAAAGCUCGCGUUUGGGGAUGAGCCUGCGGCCCAUCAGCUAGUUGGCGGUGUAACGGACCACCAAGGCUAAGACGGGUAGCUGGUCUGAGAGGAUGAACAGCCACACUGGAACUGAGACACGGUCCAGACUCCUACGGGAGGCAGCAGUGGGGAAUCUUGCGCAAUGGGCGAAAGCCUGACGCAGCGACGCCGCGUGAGUGAUGAAGGCCUUCGGUU